UUAAGUUCAGCGGGUAUCCCUACCUGAUCCGAGGUCAAAAGUUAGAAUUUGUACUUACUGGAUGCCAACAAUAAUUGACGAGAAGCGCAAAAUGUGCUGCGCUCCAAGGCCAAUAUGCCGGCUGCCAAUCGCUUUAAGGCGAGUCCACACGCAAAAGGCGGGACAAACACCCAACACCAAGCAGAGCUUGAGGGUACAAA
This 200-nucleotide unclassified non-coding RNA is filed under the name Pleosporales sp. RNAcentral's name for it is "partial internal transcribed spacer 2". The record is from RNAcentral. Lineage: Eukaryota; Fungi; Ascomycota; Dothideomycetes; Pleosporales.